AUAUAUAUAUAUAUUUGUAUGGAUAUGUAUUGAUUUUUUAAGGUAAUCAAGUCUUAGGUAUUCUCUCAUAAGUUGUUGAGAAAAUACAUAAUUGAUACAUAACUUGUACUUGAGUUGGUAUUUUAUUUUAUCUCUUUAAAGCAUGUGUUUGAUUUAUCAAUAGAAAGAACCAAAAACAAGGCAUUGGUUUUUCCAUAACCUUAAGCCUACUUACUCUUUGGCUCAAAAAUUGAUACUAAAUUGGGCUUACAAAUGAAUUUCCCAAAACUAGUAUAUUAUCCUAAUGAUCAUUCAUAUUUAAAGGAACCAUACCAGUAAGUGGGAGACAGCAACAUUAUGUACUGUGAGUUUCUUGUAUGCAAUAUGUGGUUGGCAUAGUUAUUUCAACAACUCUGGAAGUCUGUCUUCAAUUGUUAUGUUUAUGUAUUACACAUUUAAAAACAAUUUUGAUUUCAGACAUAUACCUGGCAUAUAUUGAUAGCUUAAUUUUUAUCAUAUAUUUACUCAUAUUUCAUCUUUUCUUUACUACCAGGCAUUAAUUGGCCAUUUUGUUUGACAAAUUAAAAUGAUUUCUCAGAUUCUACCUUUAAUAAUCACUAUAGUGGUAUCUAAAGUUCACAGUAUAUUUUAAUGAGUGUGAAUUCAUUUCACAUAUUAAAAUAUCAUUCCAGAUACUAACAUGCAUCUUAUAUUUUACCAUCUUACUAUAGAAUAAGAUUUGUACAUUCAGCAUAUGUAGAUCAUGCUUAUUACAUGACUAAUUUCAUGUGCUAUUUUCAAGAUAUAUCUUAAAUUUCAUUCUUUAUUUCUAAGAAAGUUCAGCUGAUAAGCAUAUCCAUCUGGGGCAUGACUUCUUACAAUUUUUGUUCCAGGCAUCUUCUUUAGUUCCCAAGAUUAUCAGGGUCUGUGCUUACAAUGACCAGCUGUUUAUAUUCAAUCUAUUUUUCUACGAUAGCUUUCCUGGCAUUAAUCAUAGUGUUAUAAAUACCUUUGUUGAAUAAACAAAAAAUAUCCCAGAGCAAGAAUGGAGGAAGGAAAGAAUGAAAGAUAUGUCAAUAUGGUGGAUCAGGGGAUGGACCCAGGCAGAAAAGCAGCUGGAAGGUAUGAACCAAUAAUUCAGGACAGCAUUUUCAGAACAGAGAUAGAAAGCAAAACAAGAUGUUACAUUUUUCUGAAAUAUUCUGAAAAGCAGGCAAAUUUAGGAAGCUUCAAAGCUGUGGCCUGGUAAUCUGUUGAACUAUGGGCAGGGAUUAUGUGAAGGACAAAUACAGAAUCAGCUGGAAAUUACAUGCCAGGAAUAAGAUUUAGUAGACCCUUGUUUGUUAGGCAAACUAGAAUAAUCUUGGUAUAUUUCCAUUAUUUUUCUCCUGAUGAACAAAAUGACCUAAAUUGAUGUUUUAGAUAUACCCAAAAGCCUUAGUAGAUAUCUUUAUAGCUUUUAUAAGACACAACAGUCACUUCAGUAUUUGUACUUCACUAAUAAAAUUAGUAAUUUGAAAUUACAACCUUAACUCACAUGAAACUAAAUGCCUCACAAAUGAAAGAUCUUAUUUUUUGUUGAUAUACUAAUAGUCCCUGGUAUAAUACCUAAUAUAAGUUUAUAAUUAAUUGAUAUAUAUAUAUAGAUAGAUAGAUAGAUAGAUAGAUAGAUAGAGAUAUAGAUAUAGAUAUAGAUAUAGAUAUAGAUAUAGAUAUAGAUAGAUCAUUGGCCUCUAAUAAUAAAGAUGCAAAUAAUUUCUCUCAGGAAGAUUUGGCAAGAAAAUAUGUACCUUUCUUCAUGUAUGAACAGAGAGUAACUGAUGGACUGGGGGUAAGUGGGGAUGAGAUCUGAAGUGAUUAUGCCAGGGGACAGAGGAUAAGAGUGCAGGUAGAGAUAUCUGGAAUUGUGUGUACUUGGGAAGUGGUGUGGAAACCUAGUAUCUAUGAGGGUGACCCUACUGAGGACUCCUAGCAAUGGAGGACACAGAAUCUUCACUGGCCAUUUCUAUUACCUGUCAAAUUUUCCGUUAUUGUGUCUGGGUUGCAUUCCGAUGAAUUGCUAACAGAUGUUUAGGGUCCUAUAGCCAUCCAUUAAUAACACAGGUUGAUGCUAGAAUAGAGGAUCACUCUGCUAUAGCUGAAAGCAGGGGCCCAUUGCAAGGACAACAUUCACACAGAUCAUUGAACUUAGCAAAGUCAUGCUGGUGCCUGCAUGGAUCCUUUACCACUAAUUUCUAGUUUCUUUGUCUCUGGAAGGUACCCUGAGGCUAUGGAAAGAGAAACCUGUACACCAACCCAGCCACAAAACUCUAAACCUUCAAUCUAUUCUGAUGCAAGUUGUGCUGUGGAAAUGAUGGAGCAGAGUUUAUGGGAGUAGCCCACCAAUGUCUGGUUUAACUUGAAGUGCACUCCAGGAGAGGGAGCCUGUGCCUUGUACUGCCUGGAUAGCCAGGAAUCAGAGACUGGAUAGAACAGAGACCUAGGGUAGAACAAAACAUACCUUGCCAAAAAGCAAAAACAAAAACCAAAGAAAUGAUUCCUAAUAAUAUUCUGUUAUACUCAGGUCGGUUACUUGCCUAGUCAUCAUCACACACGCUGCCUCUGGCUUCAGAUGGAAGCAGGUGCAAGAGGCUCACAGCUAGACAUAAUGCUUAAGAGAGUUUAAAUAUGAGGUCUCCAUAGGGUCUCCCCCUUGGAGCUCCAGUAACCCAGGAGAGGCAGGAGAAAGACUGUAGGAAUCAGAGGGGAUGGAGGACACCAGUAGAGCACGUGAUCACUGAAUCAACUAGGCAUGGCCUCAUUGAGCCUGAUGCAGCAAGCAAAUGGCCUACAUGGGUCUACACCAUGUCCUCUGUGUAUAUGUUAUGGCUGUUAUCUUGGUGCUUUUGUGGGUACAGGUGUGUCUCUGACUCUUCCCUGUUCUUAGGACUCUUUUCUCCUGUUGAGUUGCCUUAUUCAGCCUCUAUAGUAGGGCUUUUGCCUUUACUUAUUUUAUCUUUUUUUGUCCUGUUUCAUUGUUGUCUUUUGGAGCCCUGCUGUUUUCCAAAGGGAAAAGUCUGGUGAGAGGAUCUGGGGAGGAGAUGAGGUACAGGGGGGUAGGGGGUGAGGAGUAGGAGUUGGAGGGAUAGACUCUGUGGUUGGGAUGUAUUUUAUGAGAGAAGAAUGUAUGCAAAAUUCACAAAAAAGUAAAGCAUUACCCUGAAUGUAAAAUUAAAAAAACAUGGUAAUGUUAUAAGGAAAAAUAUAAAACCCGAAUAACACAAAAUUAUGGUGAAAUUAGAUUACUGUAAGAGUUCGUUUUAUAUAGUGUUCAUGUGAAAGCCUGAAUUUCUUCAUAUAGGAAUGUAUCUAUCCAGUAUAGCUGCUGAAAUUUACAGAAUAUUGGAAAGAAUCCUAGGCACCAUCAAUAAAAUCCCAAAUGUUUAUCAACUCAAACUUGAUAUUCAUUGGCAUGGCUUCAGUUUCUUUGUUAAAUGUUGCAGCCUCAGACAUAUGGAACAUAAAUAUUGGAUGUUCUUGUUGGGAAGGUUCCGUGAUUUGUAAAAUACAUUAAUAAAAUAAAAGACUAUUAAAAGCAUGCAAUAGUUAUGUACAACUUGUCAUACAUUGAAGGGAAACCAAAAACAACAAUAUUUCCAAUGUGUCAGACCAAUCAUAGUAGAUUAUAUGUUGAACCCACAGAUUGUUGAUUUGCUCAGAAUAUCAACCAUUGUGAAAAUAACCUGUGGCUUACAGAUUUGGCAUCUGGACUAUAAAACAAAGUACUACAGUGCCAUCUCCUGGAUAGCAAAAUUAUCUAAAACUGGAGGUGAGAUUUAAUGUAAAGUCUUCAUUUAAUUAGUUCAUAUUAACUCAAACAAUGAGGGGAAGAGAAGAGAAGGAUAGCAUUUAGGGUUCCAAUUUAUGGAAAAUAGUAAUUAUGUUCGGCAUACACAAACAAACUGUUCAAUAUCCAACUCUUACAGCAUCAUUUUUUUUAUUUCGUAGAUUAUAUCUAAAGGCACCAUUAAUUAUUUCAUUAUCAUUUUUCAAAAUAUGCUGCCUUAAAAAAAUUAACCAUCUCAGAUCCUGUAGUUGAUUUCCUAUUUAAAUUCAGUUAAGAACAUUUUUUUCAGGAGGUCCUAUCUCGUCAUUCUAAUCCUAUGACAAUUGUAAAACUUAAUGCAGAAUAGAUAUUAUAAAUGUCUUAAGUACACACUGAGCAUUUUUCAUUUUAUUUAGAAUAUUUUUAUAACUCCAUGUAGAUUCCAAACCAAAGUUUUCUUUUAUUCAAGCAGAAGCCACAAAACUUUCAAAUUUACUUUGUGAUUUUGAACUCUUGAGUGCUCUAUGAUCAAUAUUUAAUCCAGUUCAUCUAAAAUUUUCAUCAGUGAUAUCUUUAUUCAAAAAUGCUAUUUAUUGCUUUUUCCAAUAUGUUACAUGCUAUUUCUGUAUGUGCUAAUUCUUUAUAUUUAAAUAAAUAUUUCAUAUAUUAUGUUUUAGCAUAUCAACCCACAUAUCCAGCAUUUGUGUAAAGAUUACCCUUGGAUUUCACUCUCAGUUUUAUGAUGUUCAUUAUGUUCCACAUACAUUUGAUAUUAUAUGAUACUGUUCUUACAUUUGAUAUUAUAUUGUAUAGGAAUACAUUUAUAGCCGGGCAUUGGUGGCGCAUGCCUUUACUCCUAGCACUCGGGAGGCAGAGGCAGGUGGAUCUCUGUGAGUUUGAGACCAGCCUGGUCUACAAGAGCUAGUUCCAAGGCAGCCUCCAAAAGCCACAGAGAAAUCCUGUCUCAAAAAAACAAAAAAUGAGUACAUCUAUGGGAAGAUGUAUACUAAACUUGUGAAAACAAGCAUGAAGUUUCUUAUUGACAUUUUACCAAGUUCAUAGUUGAAUCUAGAGAAAACUAAAAUGAAUUUACAAUGUGCAAUAAACAACACACUUGUCUGCAGUAUGAAUAACCCAGAAAAUAACUAUAAAUGCCCAAAGCAUCUUGAUAGCAGGAUUGAAUUUGAACAUGUUCAUGUGUUAAAAUUCAUCUAAAGAACCACUGAAUAAGGAGGCAGGCAUUUUUUUUUCAAAUCUUCAAUUGUAUCAAGUCCACUGAAAAAAUCAUCUAUGAACAAUGUAUACAGAUUCAUUUAGAGCAGAAAGUUCUAUGUGUUUUUAUGGCUGUGUAUAUGUUUUUAAACACUAGCAAAAUGUUGGUUGGCCAAACUAUUCAUCCCUACACUUUCUAUCUGUUCUUUACCACUUGACAAUCUUCUCAUAGAAAUUUCUUUUAUGCAGGUGUAUUCUUAUCCAAAUGAAUUGAGAUAUGCCUCCCUUGUUUGACAGGCUUAUUCAUGAAAUUAAUGAUUUCAGCAAUUAUCUACAAGUGUUUGGUUACCAACUAAAUGCUUCUUUUAUAAUAUUCUAAAUUUAUUCACUGUUUAUGGAAAUUUGCAUUGCUUUUCUAUUUGGAUGCCCAAGAUAGAUGUUGUAAAUUUAUAGUAUAUAUAACGCAUAAAGGGACUUAGUGGAGCCCAUUCUGUAUGGAGAAAUACAGUGCUCAGCCCAGACACAGGGGGGUGGGAUGGUGGAGAGGUGCCUUGGCCCUGCCUCAACAAGAUGAUAGGACAGAGUUAGUAGACUUCCUAUGGGAGGCCUUAACCUGUACAAGGAGCAGAUGGAGGUAGGGGAGUGAGGGGAGCGGGAGGAGAGGAGAGAGAACUGUGAUUGGAAUGUAAAAAAUAAAUUAAUAAAAGAAUUUUAAAAAUUAAUAGUGAUUAGCUUUGUGAAGGUAUAUGCUUUCAUUUUCCUUAGAUAAAGGCAAAAGACUGGUGGAUGGACAGUAACAUAGAUGAUCAAUAUAAAAGCUAUCAAUACUAGAAAAAAAAAACAUUUCCACCAUCAGCCUUUAUUUGUGCUUUGCAGCUGAUUACUGUAAAUGAUAUAGUGUAAUGUUGAGUAUAAUUUGUAUUUGAACAAUUUUCUUUACUUUAUAUAAGCACUACAAAAACAACAAAGAACACAAUUUUUCUAAUUUUCUGUUUUCAAAGAAAAUUAUCUGUUCAUCUAAAAUGUUUAAUAUGGAUGUGUGUCAUAACUGAAUGACUAAAAUUAUUAUCUAUAUGUUACCCAUGUUCAGCUGAUACAUACAAAUAUGAAAAAAUAUAUAUGUAUUAAUUAGGUAACAUGAUCUCUUGAUUGGUAUUAAGGUUGUGUAACCUUUAAGUCACACUGAACAUGCAUACCUCCUAAAAAUUUAGAUUUUAAUAUAGAGGAGUUUUCAUUGUCUUAUUUGUCUCUAUCUCUUUUUAUUCAUGUUAUGUUCUUAAUUUCUAAUUUCACUAUAUUUAAGAGCUUUAAAACAUUAUUUUAUUAGGAGACUAUAUUGCUUUUGAAGGAGUGGAAAUGCCAAAAGUGAAGUUAACUUGCUUUUGAAUAUUCUAUUUAUACCUAAUAAAUGAGGUCACUGAGUAUAUCCACAUGAGUGGAGAAUUAAACUUUAACAGAAAUACAAAUGUUAAAAUAAAGUACUUAUAAAAAUUUAUAGACCUAGUUUGAAAUAACUUGUAUAGAACAUAUUGAAUCCUCAAGAAAAAAAGGAAUGAAAUUAAAAGAUAAGUCCUUGUCUAGUGUAAAUUCGACAAAGAAUUUCAAUGCUGCUUGUUUCUAUUGUCGAAGAUCAUAUAAUCACCAACAAGAGACUACAGGAAAGAAAAAAAGAAUGAAUUCAAAUGUGAUUUUAUUAAUGUAAAAUACCUUCAGAAAAGUCAAUAUUCUAAUUGAAAAUGUUUUGGGUGAUGACCAACCUUGGUAGUCAGAAAUAUUUAUAGUUGUAGUAGACAAGCCAAAUAACGCAACUAAUAAAAUUGGGACUUGCAUUCUUCCCCAAACAUAGGGAAUGGGAAUUAUCCACCCACUUUUGAAAGCUCAUCCCUUACAGUCAAGGGGGAAAUCACUCUGUAAAGCCAACAUUUGAAUGUACUGAUGAAUUAGAUUACCAAAACUUUAAACACACAUUUACUUUGCAGAAUUUUGUUUUCCUUUGGCUUUCAAAUGGAGUUAAAAAAGAUUGUCAUUUGAACCUAUGAAAGAGCAGUGUUUGUGGAAAAGAUAACAAGUUCUGGCAAGGAUGUGGACAUGGAGAAAGGGAAACUGUGUGCUAUUAUCACUUGUGUAAAUUAAAAGACAUUAUGGAAAAUAGAAUAGGGGUCCCUGCAAAAAAUACAAUUUUACCUUGUGAUCAGAAAAUUCUACUACUGGACAUAUAUUGAAAAUUGUAACUGAUAUUUCGAAAGGACAUCUUUUCUCCCAUAUCAUCACAACACUGUCCAUAACAUCCAAGAAACAGAAAUACCUGUGCCACUUCUGGUGCUCCAAAACUGCAAUCCUAGCUCCUUGGGAGGUCAAAGCAAAAUGAUGAAAAUUAAAGUCCUGUCUGUACUGCAGAUUGCAUUGAAGGCAAGCAUGGUGAAUUUAUUACAACAAAAGUAAGACGACAAAAAGGGCUUGAAUGGAGUUCAGCAGUAGAGUUCCUGCAUAGCAUAAUAGGAACCUCAGUACAUUUACAGUUCUGUAAACAAGCCAUCCUCAAAACAACCAAAAAAAGUACCAUUGAAUACCUUUAAGUGGAGGCCAAGAGGAGAAUUAUAGAGUAAGAGUCUAUCUCUUAUAAAAUAAACAUGUUUAUAAUCUUCUUUUAAACUGGGAAUGUUUUAGUAGAGGUAUCUUGAAUUUCCACAAGCAGUAUUUAUGCAAGUAUCUCAUCAUGGUGUUUUCUAUAAUAUAGUAAAGGUGUUUUAAAUGAAAAAAAAAAUGUAACAUGCCUCUUACUGUUAUUUCAACCAUUGCUCAUUUUACUAUUUUAUUAUGCUUGUCUAUUAGUUCUCUUAUGUUUAUUACAAUUAUAUAUUUGCUUUUUACAAUCUUAGUCUAAACUUUUCUGCAAUGCUGUUUUCACAAGUAUAUUCCUAAUGAUUCAUAUAAUGUUAUAUACAUCAAAUAAUAUUCUUUUAAAAUUUGAUUACAUUUCUUGUGUGUUUUUUUAUUACAGAAAUCAGGUACUUUAUGUUUUAGAUUCUAAACUUUAGAAUGUAGUUUACUGUGAACCAAGUAAAUAUUUGUUCACAUUGUUUUUGGUUAAUCUAUAUUUCACUUGCUUAGAUAAUCCCGUUUAAUAGGUAGGAAUAUUUUCUCAAGCCUAAGCAAUGACAUUUGUUUUAAAAGAAAAGCCCAUUUCUUCCAUUGUGUUUACCAGAAUGUAUCAUCUUCAGUUUUUUGUUCACUUACACACACACAAUUCUGAUUAAAUUAUUAACACACACACACACACACACACACACACACACACACACACACACACACACACACAGUACCUAUCUCCAACUCUGCACUACUUUAUUACAUAGAGUGUUCAGUAUUUCCUUACAUUUGCUUAGCAAAAUGCUUUAUUUUUUUAUUUUUUAAUAACUUCACAUAUCUGUUAAAACCAGUUUCUUCACAUUGUUCCUCUUCUAUUUGGUAUAAAUUCAUAGGUCUUAAGUUCUAUAAAUAAUCAUUUUUGUGGGAGCCCAUAUCAUCUCUUCUGGAGGCAUAAUAACCUAAAGUAAUACAGAAUUCCCAUGUGUUGGGAUUUCAUGUAAGAAAUAGUAUUCCUCUCCCUCUCCUGAAGAGAACAUUCUAAAUCAAUAGGCUUUCUGUUUGAGGGAUCGGGCAUGUUUUGAAAUGCUGAAAUGAGUCAUGUUCGAGACUACAGCAAUGACUGCAGCCUCAUUUUUAAAAUAUAUAUUAACUAUUGGGUUAACACAUAUUGAAAAUUAAUAUUUGUGAUAAUAAAAUAAGGUAUUAUAAAAGAAGUUUCUAAUACAGGAAAAUACUGUGGAUGAAAGAAAAACUCUGUAUGUACUGCAAGAGUCUUAACAGCAGCCAAGAUUAAUAGUCUCCCAUACAUCUUUAAAGGGUUGACCUUGCUGAGGUCUGGAGGGCAGACCAAGAAAACUCAAGGGCUUGAGCUCAACUCCCAAGGUUAAAGACUUCCGUCCCUCCAGUGUAGGAGGUGAUAACUGGAUUGCCCGUUAAUCACAUUUCAUUUUGUCUUUUAGAAAAAUUCUGCAGAGAUGAGCUAUAAAAAUAAACACAAAUGGAAUUUAUGACAGUUUUUAGGAGGUGCCUUGGGCCAACUUUGGAAUCAAUGAAUUUGUUUCUGACUUUAAUGUUUAGAAUGACUCCUUCAUAGACCUUGGAGUAAACAGCUUAUCCAAUGUUAUUCUUUGGGAACAUACAAUAAGUGGGAUUUUCUUCAUCAAAACAAAGCAUUUAUGAUUAGACAUUAAAGUUAUUGAUUCUUCUUGCAAAGUUGUUAUAAAUCCUGAGAUAGUUUGAAAGUGUGUAGGUCAUAGAGGAUUUACAUCUGGAAAUAGCAUGUAUCUAUCUCCCUGUUGGAGCCUAGUGUCUAGAAAUAACCCUUAGCAUGUCAGCAGGAAAUGAUGGAGGCUCCCUGAUACACCAAAGGCAUAGCAAGUGCCAGCAGUUUAGAAGCACAAAGGAGAAAAAGAACAAAUGUCUAAAUACAUUUUCGUUUGACAGAAGACUUUCAAAAACGACUAUAUGUUAAAUUAAAAGAAAUAGAAGAGGGAUUUUAGAGGAAUUGAGUAAAAUUAACAUAUAUUUAUACAUCAAAUUGCCAAUAUUGCUUGCAUUUACACACACACACACACACACACAUGAUGACAUAUGUAUAUGUGGCCAUCAUCUUCCUCCACACACUUUCCUGUAAGGAUGCACUAUUUUAAAAUUCUAAGUCAUCUAAACAUCAGAUAUGGGAGUUUUUUUUUGUUGAGUGAAUUUACUUGCUUCAAUAAAUUACUAAAUAAAUAAUUGAUAAGAAUAUAUCAAAGAUAUUCCCUAUAUAUUUGAUGAAAUUGUUAAUCUAACACAUUAUAAUAAAAGGAUUCUGGUGCAAAUAAAUUACAUUUAUGUUUUUCUCUUUAAUUUAAUAAAUGUGUUUAUGUUCUCUUUAUUUCCACCACUGUUCUUCCUAUGCAUUGAAAGUUUCAUGGUUUUCCUGAAAGAGAUUUCACAUGCCAGUCAACACAACUGGCUAAGCAGACACUAGCUAAAGCUCAAAAUAUUUAGCUUUCAAAUGCAUUUUAAAUAUUUACUUACUUCAGAAGUUAAAACAAUUCAUAAACUCAUUUCAGUAUUGAAAUGGUAAGACAAAUGAUGACUUUUCACUGGGUGAAACAAAAUCUUUAUGUAGUAGUUGGAGGUCAUAAAAGUAAAAUGAAAAUUUGAACUCUUUCUUUUGGAAACAAAUUUCUGUCAGUAGCAGGCCCCACCAUUCUCUGACAGUAUAUUAAGCUAUUUUGUGAAACUAUUCAUCUUUUACAUAAUUUUAACUUUUAUCUAUAUUAAAGGUUUAUUAACUACUAGUGUGUGUGUGUGUGUGUGUGUGUGUGUGUGUGUGUGUGUGUAUCAAAUGGUAGUUAAUGGAGGAAAUACAUUAAUAUAGAAGGGGACCUAAUUUUCUUUUCCUAAAAAUUGGUAGAAGCAGAUGUAAGAAAAUAUAUUUAAUUUUUGUCUUCGCAGACUUUGACUUGGUAAAUGGGUAGAUGCUGCAGGGGAGUAAAUUUUAGACCAUCAAGAGAUCUCUGCAAAGAAGAGCAAAGGAUUGGAGAAACUUGUUAUUUAUUCAUAGUAAAGACAAUAAAGGAGACUUAAGACAUCCUGUGAAACAACAGGAUGUCUGGUGUCACCAGCGCCAGCACCAGUGACAGAAGAACUAGACCAGGUGAGAGUCUGCAGAUUAAGAAGUGAAUGCCAUUGGUUUAUUGCAGCCAGCAGUUUAUAUACAACCAUAACAAGAGGAAAUGGAAAAGUACCACCUGCUAGCAGAACAUUCCCAUGCCCUAUCGUAAGCAAGGAAAUCACAACCCCUGCCCAAGGCCAACGAAGCAGGAAGGGGAUGGGGGCAAGGCACAAUGUUUCAAAACAGGAAGUAACAAAAGGUCAGCACAGGCCUAAAGGUCAGGUCUGUACCCAACAGUAAGGAUUCACAACAGGAUGUUGAUGCUAGUGGGGGGAGGCCAGGAAAACUGGAGGUACCUGUGGCUAUACUGGAAAAUGAUUCACAGAGACCCCAUGGGGGCUGGAUCCCAACAGUCUGAUCUAAGGUGAAUGCAACCGGAUGCUUGGCAUAGGAUGUCAUCACUGCAUUUCCUGCCUGAACAAUAGAAUACUUCACUCGGGAGAUAGUUACUUUGUUCUUUCACUGGACAUCCUGUCUAAACAAUAGAAUACUUAAUCCAGGAGAUAUCUACUUGAUGUUUUCAGUAUUGAGAAGGUAAUUAUGCUUCCUCAUUUUCUGGAUCUUGGUAAAGAAGUGUGUUGCUUUCUCCCCCUCUUUUGAUGGAAGCAUAAAAAGACUAUGCACAAUAAACAUGGGCAGUUCAGCCCUCCUACUCUA
Molecule: non-coding RNA, 11408 nt
Organism: Cricetulus griseus (Chinese hamster)
Lineage: Eukaryota; Metazoa; Chordata; Mammalia; Rodentia; Cricetidae
Source: RefSeq, a predicted model, not a curated record